Molecule: long non-coding RNA, 1520 nt
Organism: Phyllostomus discolor (pale spear-nosed bat)
Lineage: Eukaryota; Metazoa; Chordata; Mammalia; Chiroptera; Phyllostomidae
Exons: 3
Source: RefSeq, a predicted model, not a curated record
GGAUGAGGUCUUAAAAAUUCAUUUAGUCCAUACCUCCACUUCAGAGCAAAGUUUCUUUCUCACUGUUCCUGGAAAUUCCCUGUAUUCCCACUUUCCUUGCAAGUGGUUUCCCCAUCCUGUCUGUCCCCGUUGUUCUCCUGUGCUACACCAGAACAAUUUCCUUCAGUUGCAGCACAGGUCACAACCCGAGCCCUGACUGCAGAAACCGUUGCGCCCCAGCCCCAGCCUCUCAAGGGAGGACUCCGGGGGGAGGGACCACUCCUCAAAGCCAGCAAUCAAAUCAUCUUUCUGAUCUGCAUCCCUUCUGCUUCAGCCCAGCUGGUCUCCACUCUCCCCUGGUCCACACCCCGCCCCACCUGCUGACAGCCCAGUGCGACAUAUCCUCCCAAUCUUGGCUCCACCGCUGAUCCUCCGACAUUCAAUUUACAGAGCCUCUUGAGCCCCGGAACCCUUGUGUAACUGAGGAAUCCACAGUCUCAAUCGGCAGGAAAGGAGCCCUGGUCUCCGAAAUCGCCUGAAGUUCAUGAGAUUCUCAUUCUGCUCAAAACAAAGAAGACACUUAAGCCUCACCCAGGCAGCAAGACCACAGCCCACGGACUUCCACCCAGAUCUCAAGCUGCUCCAGGUGGGUGCAUCUGGUUUCCCAGGCUCCAGACUGGCCACUCAGCUCACUGACCUUGACUCCCUGGCGCCUGCUGGGUCUGGGGGUGAGCACAGACCUACAAUCACCAGCUCAGUCAACAACCUCACCCAGGGGCUAGGAGACUCAGUCAGGGCAAGGCCUUUGGCAGGCAGCCUCCCAGUGAUGACCUGGCCUGUGGAGCAUAUUGUGCACAGCAGAUAUACAAUAGGUGUGUGCUGAGAGAACCGAGCUUCCCCUGCCCUGAGUGGGAGAGAGCUACAUUGUCAGGUCGGGUGACCAUGCCUGUGGGUGUGACGGAGUAGGGGGUUUGGCAUUUGUGGCUCAGAGACCCCGUAGACCAGACACUCUGAGCCCCAGAGCGAACAGCCUGGGCAGGGCAGAGAGCCAGGAGCUCCUCACUCCUGCUCUUGUUCCAGCCUAUUCGCUCGCACCCUGACUGCUCCCACCCACAGUCCCGGCCCUCAGUUAGCCUCUCACUUGCGUCCUGCAGCAGCUAAGGCAACCUAGACUAGGGCUUCAGUGGGGUGGGGGGUCAAAAUGCUCCCCCUCUCAACCACAUGCUUUUUAACAGCACCGGUAAGACUCGGCACUAGCGCCCCCUGUUGUUGGCCUAACUUGACUGCUUUGGCCAUGGGUCCCAUCCUUCUCCUCGCCAGAGAUGGCAGGAUCAUCCUUAGCCCCAGGGUCCUGCUCAGAGGGGAGACACCAGCCCAGCCCACACACCUUCACUGCGGCUUCCAAGUUUUCUUUUUCACAUCACUUACGCUGCCUCCUUUCUUGUUUUGUUGACUUUGGUGCUGUCUGUUUGCUUUGGCUAAGCCUACAGCCCCAGGAUGAAACCUUGGAACUGGGGGAAGUGUGAGCCUGAGAGACAGCA